Non-coding RNA from Hordeum vulgare subsp. vulgare (domesticated barley), 135 nucleotides. The record is from Rfam. Lineage: Eukaryota; Viridiplantae; Streptophyta; Magnoliopsida; Poales; Poaceae.
AUAGUACUCCCUCCGGUUCAUAUUACUUGUCUUCGAUUUGUCUAGAUACGAAUGUAAUUAGACAUGUUUUAGUGUUAGAUAUAUCCGUAUCUAAACAAAUCUGAGACAAGUAAUUAGAAUCGGAGGGAGUAGGUG